UACGUAGGGGGCGAGCGUUGUCCGGAGUUACUGGGCGUAAAGGGCGCGUAGGCGGUCUGCGAAGUUCAGAGUGACAGUCACCAGCUUAACUGGUGAAGGACGCGUGAAAACUGAUAGACUUGAGAGCGCGAGAGGGACACGGAAUUCCGGGUGGAGCAGUGAAAUGCGUAGAGAUCCGGAGGAACACCGAAGGCGAAGGCAGUGUCCUGGCGCGUAUCUGACGCUGAGGCGCGAAAGCCAGGGGA
RNAcentral lists this ribosomal RNA (245 nucleotides) under uncultured bacterium. Its description in RNAcentral is "partial 16S ribosomal RNA". It matches the Rfam family "Bacterial small subunit ribosomal RNA", at positions 524 to 767 of the family's 1533-position model. The record is from RNAcentral.